Ictalurus punctatus (channel catfish) is the source of this 511-nucleotide long non-coding RNA. The record is from Ensembl. Lineage: Eukaryota; Metazoa; Chordata; Actinopteri; Siluriformes; Ictaluridae.
GAAGAACUCCGAAACUUUCAGACAUUCGCUGAAGUUUGUGCGAGUAAGUUGAUUAUUGAGGUUGCUCUGAUCAGGAGAGAAAAUGGGUACACUUCGCGCUGAUGUAGUGCAUUUUCCACUGCGCCCCCUGUUGUACACGGCCGUAGCUGCAUCCACGGCAGCCGGCAUUUACUAUUAUGUUAAACGACGCAGUCGAGAGAAAACAACAGCGGGCCCCGAGGACACAACUGAAGAUUCAGUGUGUGACCAGGCCACGGAACCGGCUGUGGUCCAACCCACAGAGGUUCCUCAGGACCAGGUCACGGAUACUGUGACGAUUCUGACCCUUGUGGUGUCCAAUAUUCAGCUGCAGAACAGAGUGAAUGAGCUGGAGGAACUGCUCUGUGAGGAAUGCAGAGAUUGUGACAUGAAAAGCAAGGUCUCCCUUGUGCCACCGAAACAGCUCUGACCCGUCGAGGCAUGGACCUCUGAAUUGGUGGUGUGGUAUCUGGUACCAAGAUGUUAGCAGCAG